RNAcentral lists this ribosomal RNA (1343 nucleotides) under uncultured bacterium. Its description in RNAcentral is "16S ribosomal RNA". It matches the Rfam family "Bacterial small subunit ribosomal RNA", at positions 28 to 1378 of the family's 1533-position model. The record is from RNAcentral.
GACGAACGCUUGCGGCGUGCUUAACACAUGCAAGUCGAACGGAAAGGCCCUGCUUUUGUGGGGUGCUCGAGUGGCGAACGGGUGAGUAACACGUGAGUAACCUGCCCUUGACUUUGGGAUAACUUCAGGAAACUGGGGCUAAUACCGGAUAGGAGCUCCUGCUGCAUGGUGGGGGUUGGAAAGUUUCGGCGGUUGGGGAUGGACUCGCGGCGUAUCAGCUUGUUGGUGGGGUAGUGGCUUACCAAGGCUUUGACGGGUAGCCGGCCUGAGAGGGUGACCGGCCACAUUGGGACUGAGAUACGGCCCAGACUCCUACGGGAGGCAGCAGUGGGGAAUAUUGCACAAUGGGCGGAAGCCUGAUGCAGCAACGCCGCGUGCGGGAUGACGGCCUUCGGGUUGUAAACCGCUUUCGCCUGUGACGAAGCGUGAGUGACGGUAAUGGGUAAAGAAGCACCGGCUAACUACGUGCCAGCAGCCGCGGUGAUACGUAGGGUGCGAGCGUUGUCCGGAUUUAUUGGGCGUAAAGGGCUCGUAGGUGGUUGAUCGCGUCGGAAGUGUAAUCUUGGGGCUUAACCCUGAGCGUGCUUUCGAUACGGGUUGACUUGAGGAAGGUAGGGGAGAAUGGAAUUCCUGGUGGAGCGGUGGAAUGCGCAGAUAUCAGGAGGAACACCAGUGGCGAAGGCGGUUCUCUGGGCCUUUCCUGACGCUGAGGAGCGAAAGCGUGGGGAGCGAACAGGCUUAGAUACCCUGGUAGUCCACGCUGUAAACGGUGGGUACUAGGUGUGGGGUCCAUUCCACGGGUUCCGUGCCGUAGCUAACGCUUUAAGUACCCCGCCUGGGGAGUACGGCCGCAAGGCUAAAACUCAAAGGAAUUGACGGGGCCCCGCACAAGCGGCGGAGCAUGCGGAUUAAUUCGAUGCAACGCGUAGAACCUUACCUGGGUUUGACAUGGAUCGGGAGUGCUCAGAGAUGGGUGUGCCUCUUUUGGGGUCGGUUCACAGGUGGUGCAUGGCUGUCGUCAGCUCGUGUCGUGAGAUGUUGGGUUAAGUCCCGCAACGAGCGCAACCCUUGUUCACUGUUGCCAGCACGUUAUGGUGGGGACUCAGUGGAGACCGCCGGGGUCAACUCGGAGGAAGGUGGGGAUGACGUCAAGUCAUCAUGCCCCUUAUGUCCAGGGCUUCACGCAUGCUACAAUGGCUGGUACAGAGAGUGGCGAGCCUGUGAGGGUGAGCGAAUCUCGGAAAGCCGGUCUCAGUUCGGAUUGGGGUCUGCAACUCGACCUCAUGAAGUCGGAGUCGCUAGUAAUCGCAGAUCAGCAACGCUGCGGUGAAUACGUUCCCGGG